RNAcentral lists this small RNA (2371 nucleotides) under Rattus norvegicus (Norway rat). Its description in RNAcentral is "uncharacterized LOC102546421". The record is from RNAcentral. Lineage: Eukaryota; Metazoa; Chordata; Mammalia; Rodentia; Muridae.
CCUUAAACUUUUCCUCUUCAAUUGUUUUUAAUUUCCGUUUUUCUUUAAAUGCCUUCACUUCUUAAGUGAGCGGAAGGAGCUAAGGGCUGAAAGAAAAGGCCCAGUGAGAAGGAAAUCACUUCUGGCUUUUCAGACCUUUUCACUUGUCCCUUUCUCCACCGUUGGCCCAAGAUUCACACCCGGCAACUGAGUUUUAGACCUCUUCCUUCAUUCAGGGCCUAGACCAGAGUCUGCACUUAGCCUUCAGUAUAAAUAGUUGGAUAAAGGAUAGCUUCCUUGGGCGGAAUGCCCUCAGAUCAGCUCACUUUGAGGGUGUAGUUUUUUUUUUUUUUCUACUCAGCUGAAAGGCAGAUAAACACAUAUGUUUUACAUUGGUGUUAUUUAUAUAGCUAUGCCCCCAAAGGGGGGGGGUAAAGUUGUUGGAAAUAUUUUUCUUGGUCUUGUUCAUAUACAUAUAUGCUGUGAAUUUUAGGAUGUUGAAGUUACUCUUAAGGCGUUUCCUUUACAUUUUGAUGUCUUUAAAAAACGAUUUUACUUCUUUCAUAAGAGGUGAAGACCUUGCAAAAUGAAGCUAAUCUCUUUUAGAAACUAAGAGAUUUCUUACCUCCUGCUGCUUUAUUACAAUUGAACACUUUUUCAACCGAGUCACUUUCUUUGUUGUGUUUCGAAUGGUUUGAUGAUUCUUAUUCUUUAUCAUAACUUUUAUUUUUUUGAAUGCCGUAACCAUUUUUUUAUAUAACCAGGCAAGCAAUUUUAGGUUUGGAAAUGUGUAAGACUAAAUUCAGUCAGUUGGUACAUACAUAUUAAAUACAUAUUCUACUGAGCACCAGUUGUGUAAUCCACGGACUAUUCCCUAGAGCGUUUUAAGUCCUACUCUCAUUGAUUGUAAAAUAGUGAAAUUAUAUAACCAAUGAGCUAAUAAGCAUGAAACUAAUUUGAAAGGUUAUAAUUGCUAAUCAAAUGUAAAGCAUAUUUAUUAGCAUCAUUAUUAAAAGGUGCCAGAGGAUACAGAUAAAACCUGUUCCUAUCCUCUGGGAACUUACAAUCUAGUUGGGCAUAAAUAAUGAAAUGUAAAUUGAUAGAAAGAGCUCCUAAGCAGUGUUCAGUGUCUGGCGUAUUGAAGACAGAAAAUGAUUGCCUCACAUUAAUUUGUAGCCCUGACAUUCUUUUAACAGAAAUAUAAUACUGUAAGUAAUGGAAGGAUUAAUUAGGAAAAAAUUUCAUGGAAAAAAUGAAUUUGUCCUUCUUAAGUCAUGUGUGAAGAUUGGGGGCAUAUAAGCUGUUUGCUUGUGAGGGAUAAAAUGGUAUUAAGUGUGGGAUAGGAAAAACGCGAGGUGAAAGUGUAAACAACCUUACAAGAUCAUUAUUAUUGAUACAUUUCUAUAAAAUUUUGUUAAUUAGAUGUAUGCAUGGGGCAUGGGCAUGUGAAUGAAGGGAUAUGAGGAAGCCAGAGAAAUCAGAGCUCUCUGGAGAUGGAGUUACAGGCAGCUGUGAGCCACCGACAACACGGUGCUGAGAACCAAACAGGCUUCUCUGGAAGAGCAGCUUUGGCUCUUGACUUCUGGGCCAUCUCUUCCAUCCCCUGACACUUACUUCUACAUGAUUCUAUCUAAACUCUGAAUGUAAAGAAAAUUGAAGAGGAUUAAGAAAAGAUUCAGAUAUUUUGGAUUUAUCAGCAGAAAAAUUUGAUUAUAGCAACUACAGGGGAUGGCAUGCCAUUAGCACCCGGGCUAAAGACUUUCAAAGACGAUCUGGGACAUUAUCAUCGCUUGUAAUCAAAAAGAAAAUAUUGCCCGUGAUAUUCUAUUUCUAAAAUUUAAUGGACCAUUUGAAUUGUCUACCCGUACAUUAGUAAAGCGUGAACUUUCAAGCAUGGAACUUUCAGGGCUGCUGAGAACUGUCUGGAACUCUCGAGUCCCUUUUUCUAAAAGUUAUUUUUGUAAAUUGCUGUAACAGUGGCUCAUCAGUCACUCUGAAAGGAAGUGAUCCUUGAUUAACAGUUGGCUGACACCAAGCUCCACAGAUGUGUAGCAACAGUACAGGUGCGACUUACAAAACAAGACAGAGCUUUACUCCUCCUUGGUACAAGGAAGGCUGGCAUGAUCAUCCACUUCACAUUAGAGGGUGUCUUAUCCACCAGUGUGCUGACACCAAGCAGGAAUUUCCAAGUAGAGAGCAGACUCCCUGUAGUCACAUGUCCCUGGUGAAAAUUGCUUCAUCAUUCUUCAGAAGGAAAAAAAUAAAAAGAAGAAGCAGAUUCUCUUCAGAAUCCUCUAUUCUCAGAAUGACUAGACAGAACUUUAUGCCAAAAUUCUUGCUCAUCUUCCUAUCUUCUAGUUCCAUAAAUAAAAAUAAAAUGUUAAUAAAUGGA